This 563-nucleotide ribosomal RNA is filed under the name uncultured bacterium. Its description in RNAcentral is "partial 16S ribosomal RNA". It matches the Rfam family "Bacterial small subunit ribosomal RNA", at positions 355 to 1375 of the family's 1533-position model. The record is from RNAcentral.
UGGGGAAUAUUGCACAAUGGGCGAAAGCCUGAUGCAGCAACGCCGCGUGAGUGAUGAAGGCCUUCGGGUUGUAAAGCUCUGUCUUUUGGGACGAUAAUGACGGUACCAAAGGAGGAAGCCACGGCUAACUACGUGCCAGCAGCCGCGGUAAUACGUAGGUGGCAAGCGUUGUCCGGAUUUACUGGGCGUAAAGGAUGCGUAGGCGGAUUUUUAAGUGANAUGUGAAAACCCUAAGCUUAACUUGGGGACUGCAUUUCAUACUGGAAAUCUAGAGUGCGGGAGAGGAGAAUGGAAUUCCUAGUGUGAGCGGUGAAAUGCGUAGAGAUUAGGAAGAACACCAGUGGCGAAGGCGAUUCUCUGGACCGUAACUGACGCUGAGGCAUGAAAGCGUGGGUAGCAAACAGGAUUAGAUACCCUGGUAGUCCACGCCGUAAACGAUGAGUACUAGGUGUAGGAGGUAUCGACCCCUUCUGUGCCGCAGUUAACACAAUAAGUACUCCGCCUGGGAAGUACGAUCGCAAGAUUAAAACUUAAAUGAAUUGACGGGGUCAUAGCUGUUUCCU